CGGGGCUUAAAGUCUUGUAAUUGGAAUGAUGGGAAUUUAAACCUCUUCCAGAGUAUCAAUUGGAGGGCAAGUCUGGUGCCAGCAGCCGCGGUAAUUCCAGCUCCAAUAGCGUAUAUUAAAAUUGUUGCAGUUAAAAAGCUCGUAGUUGAAUUUCUGCUGCAUCGCUGCGUCCCCUCGGGGUCUCUGCAUGUGGCUUAUUUCAGACGAAGUUUCUUUGUCUGGAUGUUUACUUUGAGAAAAUUAGAGUGAUCAAAGCAGGCCUUUGCCUUGAAUAGUUUAGCAUGGAAUAAUAAAGUAGGACUUUGGUUCUAUUUUGUUGGUUUUAGGUACCAAAGUAAUGGUUAAUAGGAACAGUUGGGGGCAUUCGUAUUUAACUGUCAGAGGUGAAAUUCUUAGAUUUGUUAAAGACGAACUACUGCGAAAGCAUUUGCCAAGGAUGUUUUCAUUAAUCAAGAAC
This 457-nucleotide ribosomal RNA is filed under the name Theileria sp. bougasvlei. RNAcentral's name for it is "SSU rRNA". It matches the Rfam family "Eukaryotic small subunit ribosomal RNA", at positions 486 to 984 of the family's 1831-position model. Lineage: Eukaryota; Apicomplexa; Aconoidasida; Piroplasmida; Theileriidae. The record is from RNAcentral.